AACGAACGCUGGCGGCAGGCUUAACACAUGCAAGUCGAGCGCCCCGCAAGGGGAGCGGCAGACGGGUGAGUAACGCGUGGGAACCUACCCUUUUCUACGGAAUAACGCAUGGAAACGUGUGCUAAUACCGUAUACGCCCUACGGGGGAAAGAUUUAUCGGAGAAGGCAGGGCCCGCGUUGGAUUAGCUAGUUGGUGGGGUAAAGGCCUACCAAGGCGACGAUCCAUAGCUGGUCUGAGAGGAUGAUCAGCCACAUUGGGACUGAGACACGGCCCAAACUCCUACGGGAGGCAGCAGUGGGGAAUAUUGGACAAUGGGCGCAAGCCUGAUCCAGCCAUGCCGCGUGAGUGAUGAAGGCCCUAGGGUUGUAAAGCUCUUUCACCGGAGAAGAUAAUGACGGUAUCCGGAGAAGAAGCCCCGGCUAACUUCGUGCCAGCCGCCGCGGUAA
This 447-nucleotide ribosomal RNA is filed under the name uncultured bacterium. RNAcentral describes it as "partial 16S ribosomal RNA". It matches the Rfam family "Bacterial small subunit ribosomal RNA", at positions 29 to 523 of the family's 1533-position model. The record is from RNAcentral.